CCAUCGGUGGUUCAGUGAUAGAAUGCUCGCCUGCCACGCGGGCGGCCCUGGUUCGAUUCCCGGCCGAUGCA
This 71-nucleotide transfer RNA is filed under the name Cordylochernes scorpioides. RNAcentral's name for it is "tRNA-Gly". It matches the Rfam family "tRNA". From Rfam's summary of the family: Transfer RNA (tRNA) molecules are approximately 80 nucleotides in length. Their secondary structure includes four short double-helical elements and three loops (D, anti-codon, and T loops). Further hydrogen bonds mediate the characteristic L-shaped molecular structure. tRNAs have two regions of fundamental functional importance: the anti-codon, which is responsible for specific mRNA codon recognition, and the 3' end, to which the tRNAs corresponding amino acid is attached (by aminoacyl-tRNA synthetases). tRNAs cope with the degeneracy of the genetic code in two manners: having more than one tRNA (with a specific anti-codon) for a particular amino acid; and 'wobble' base-pairing, i.e. permitting non-standard base-pairing at the 3rd anti-codon position. Lineage: Eukaryota; Metazoa; Arthropoda; Arachnida; Pseudoscorpiones; Chernetidae. The record is from RNAcentral.